RNAcentral lists this ribosomal RNA (494 nucleotides) under uncultured bacterium. RNAcentral's name for it is "partial 16S ribosomal RNA". It matches the Rfam family "Bacterial small subunit ribosomal RNA", at positions 29 to 506 of the family's 1533-position model. The record is from RNAcentral.
AUGAACGCUGGCGGCGUGCCUAAUACAUGCAAGUCGAGCGAACAGACGAGGAGCUUGCUCCUCUGACGUUAGCGGCGGACGGGUGAGUAACACGUGGAUAACCUACCUAUAAGACUGGGAUAACUUCGGGAAACCGGAGCUAAUACCGGAUAAUAUAUUGAACCGCAUGGUUCAAUAGUGAAAGACGGUUUUGCUGUCACUUAUAGAUGGAUCCGCGCCGCAUUAGCUAGUUGUAAGGUAACGGCUUACCAAGGCAACGAUGCGUAGCCGACCUGAGAGGGUGAUCGGCCACACUGGAACUGAGACACGGUCCAGACUCCUACGGGAGGCAGCAGUAGGGAAUCUUCCGCAAUGGGCGAAAGCCUGACGGAGCAACGCCGCGUGAGUGAUGAAGGUCUUCGGAUCGUAAAACUCUGUUAUUAGGGAAGAACAAAUGUGUAAGUAACUAUGCACGUCUUGACGGUACCUAAUCAGAAAGCCACGGCUAACUACGU